CACAGGUUUUGAUGAAUCUCCCCCAUUGUCUCUAGCAGUAUGCUAGGGAAAGGUCAAAGACAACAGUAAAUAAAAUAGACUUGCACAAAAGCAUUCUGGGUCCUGUGCAUGAAAAGGGGCAAAGCAGCGCAUAUAGGAAACAAAGUGGAAUCACCGACAGGAGGAGGAGAUGGAUCAGGAACGGGCGUAGAAGGAGGAAGGAAAAUUCCUACGACCCGGAACAAAGGCAACCGGACAGUAUCCAACAAAUAGAUGGACAGAGUGAUAUACAGAAUUUGGUGUGCACAUGGGGUCCAUCUUGGGAACACCAUGACACCUGAGAUUGCAUGUUCCAUACGUCACGUGGUCGGAAAAAAAAAUUACCUGAAAAGACUUCACAAGCAUCCAGAGUAAAGGAAUAAUUAUAAGAUGACACAUACAUGAUUGGGUCCCAUACUGUAUUGUCUGAGCUCAAAUAAAUGUCUCAUUGCCCACAACAUUUGUUAUUUGGAGGUUUGUGUGGAUGUUGGUGCGAGUAGGUUGGCUUUUCCUGGGGCUCUCCAACCUUUAAGACCAGUCGGUGUAGAACUAGUGUCUUAUGCUGAUAUGAUGGGGCUGGAUAAUUAGUAUUUUAUACUGGCAUGAUGUGGAAUGCAUGGGACCUAUGAAUGUGUGGUCAAUCCUGGUCCUUAGUACGAUCUCUGUGGACCAGGGAUCUCAACAUGAGUGUGUGUAAUAUAAGUUAUUGGGUAGAUGUGGAGUGGUAAAGCCUGGAGUAGGCUCGCUGUACUCACUACCUAUACAUAGAACCAAAAACCCACAUGGACAGGCCUGGGGAGUUAAGUCUCCACAUGGACGAACAGGGUACGAAUAGUAUAUAACAAUUUAGGACACACACAUGUUCGGGCUGUAUAUGAUUAUAUAUCAUGUACUGACGAGGAUAACAGUAUUGGUGUGUAUGUAUGCAUGUUAAAUAAUGGUGAUAGAUUCAUGGGAUACCAUCCAGUCAUGUUAAGCUCCAUCUAUAAUUCCUCUUUAUGUUAAUUUCCGUAGGGACUGGUCAGACUGGCAUGAGGCUCCUAGGUAGCCACUUAGGUACUCAUUUGCUCUUAUCUCACAUAUCCAGUAACAUACGGUAAGUGGAAGUGAUGAUGACUAUGUUGUGAGUCUGACUACUGUUUUGGGACCUUCUAUCUUUG
Molecule: long non-coding RNA, 1178 nt
Organism: Hyla sarda
Lineage: Eukaryota; Metazoa; Chordata; Amphibia; Anura; Hylidae
Exons: 3
Source: RefSeq, a predicted model, not a curated record